This 429-nucleotide ribosomal RNA is filed under the name Bacteroidota bacterium. RNAcentral's name for it is "Bacteroidetes bacterium partial 16S ribosomal RNA". It matches the Rfam family "Bacterial small subunit ribosomal RNA", at positions 355 to 776 of the family's 1533-position model. Lineage: Bacteria; Pseudomonadati; Bacteroidota. The record is from RNAcentral.
UAGGGAAUCUUCGGCAAUGGGGGGAACCCUGACCGAGCAACGCCGCGUGAGUGAAGAAGGUUUUCGGAUCGUAAAGCUCUGUUGUUAAGGAAGAACGAGUGUGAGAAUGGAAAGUUCAUGCUGUGACGGUACUUAACCAGAAAGGGACGGCUAACUACGUGCCAGCAGCCGCGGUAAUACGUAGGUCCCGAGCGUUGUCCGGAUUUAUUGGGCGUAAAGCGAGCGCAGGCGGUUAGAAAAGUCUGAAGUGAAAGGCAGUGGCUCAACCAUUGUAGGCUUUGGAAACUGUUUAACUUGAGUGCAGAAGGGGAAAGUGGAAUUCCAUGUGUAGCGGUGAAAUGCGCAGAGAUAUGGAGGAACACCAGUGGCGAAGGCGACUCUCUGGUCUGUAACUGACGCUGAGGUUCGAAAGCGUGGGUAGCAAACAGG